GACGAACGCUGGCGGCGUGCCUAACACAUGCAAGUCGAGCGGGGUUGAAGCGAGGGGUAACUCGGACUUCUACCUAGCGGCGGACGGGUGAGUAACGCGUGGGCAACCUGCCUCAAGGUUUGGGAUAACAGCUCGAAAGGGCUGCUAAUACCGGAUAUGCCUGUGGCCUCGCAUGGGGCUAUGAGCAAAGGGGAAACCCGCCUUGAGAUGGGCCCGCGUCCCAUCAGCUAGUUGGUGAGGUGAAGGCUCACCAAGGCGACGACGGGUAGCCGGCCUGAGAGGGUGACCGGCCACACUGGGACUGAGACACGGCCCAGACUCCUACGGGGGGCAGCAGUGGGGGAUCUUGCACAAUGGGCGAAAGCCUGAUGCAGCGACGCCGCGUGAGCGAAGAAGGCCUCGGUUGUAAGACUCUGUCUGGAGGGACGAAACGAAAUAGACGGUACCUCCGGACGGAAGCCACGGCGUAACUACGUGCCAGCAGCCGCGGUAAGUCUAGUCUACG
This 505-nucleotide ribosomal RNA is filed under the name uncultured bacterium. RNAcentral describes it as "bacterial SSU rRNA". It matches the Rfam family "Bacterial small subunit ribosomal RNA", at positions 28 to 536 of the family's 1533-position model. The record is from RNAcentral.